This 746-nucleotide ribosomal RNA is filed under the name uncultured Providencia sp. Its description in RNAcentral is "bacterial SSU rRNA". It matches the Rfam family "Bacterial small subunit ribosomal RNA", at positions 753 to 1502 of the family's 1533-position model. The record is from RNAcentral. Lineage: Bacteria; Pseudomonadati; Pseudomonadota; Gammaproteobacteria; Enterobacterales; Morganellaceae.
GCGAAGCGUGGGGAGCAAACAGGAUUAGAUACCUGGUAGUCACGCUGUAAACGAUGUCGAUUUGGAGGUUGUUCCCUUGAGGAGUGGCUUCCGGAGCUAACGCGUUAAAUCGACCGCUGGGGAGUACGGCCGCAAGGUUAAAACUCAAAUGAAUUGACGGGGGCCCGCACAAGCGGUGGAGCAUGUGGUUUAAUUCGAUGCAACGCGAAGAACCUUACCUACUCUUGACAUCCAGAGAAUUUAGCAGAGAUGCUUUAGUGCCUUCGGGAACUCUGAGACAGGUGCUGCAUGGCUGUCGUCAGCUCGUGUUGUGAAAUGUUGGGUUAAGUCCCGCAACGAGCGCAACCCUUAUCCUUUGUUGCCAGCACAUUAUGGUGGGAACUCAAAGGAGACUGCCGGUGAUAAACCGGAGGAAGGUGGGGAUGACGUCAAGUCAUCAUGGCCCUUACGAGUAGGGCUACACACGUGCUACAAUGGCGUAUACAAAGAGAAGCGACCUCGCGAGAGCAAGCGGAACUCAUAAAGUACGUCGUAGUCCGGAUUGGAGUCUGCAACUCGACUCCAUGAAGUCGGAAUCGCUAGUAAUCGUAGAUCAGAAUGCUACGGUGAAUACGUUCCCGGGCCUUGUACACACCGCCCGUCACACCAUGGGAGUGGGUUGCAAAAGAAGUAGGUAGCUUAACCUUCGGGAGGGCGCUUACCACUUUGUGAUUCAUGACUGGGGUGAAGUCGUAACAAGGUAACCA